GAUUCUUUAGUAUAAAAAUUUAGUAUGAUUGAUUUCCAAUCAAUAGGUGUAGGAGUUA
Molecule: transfer RNA, 58 nt
Filed under: Angiostrongylus costaricensis
Lineage: Eukaryota; Metazoa; Nematoda; Chromadorea; Rhabditida; Metastrongylidae
Description: tRNA-Gly
Source: RNAcentral